RNAcentral lists this ribosomal RNA (825 nucleotides) under uncultured bacterium. RNAcentral's name for it is "bacterial SSU rRNA". It matches the Rfam family "Bacterial small subunit ribosomal RNA", at positions 59 to 869 of the family's 1533-position model. The record is from RNAcentral.
CAGUCGAGGGGCAGCGGGGGUGAUGGCUUGCCAUCGCCUGCCGGCGACCGGCGCACGGGUGAGUAACACGUAUGCAACCUGCCCGCCACAGGGGGAUAAGCGGAAGAAAUUCCGUCUAAUACCGCGUGACGCGGCGCCGGGGCAUCCCGGUGCCGCCAAAGGGAUUACCGGUGGCGGAUGGGCAUGCGGCGCAUUAGCUAGUCGGCGGGGUAACGGCCCACCGAGGCGACGAUGCGUAGGGGUUCUGAGAGGAAGGUCCCCCACACUGGUACUGAGACACGGACCAGACUCCUACGGGAGGCAGCAGUGAGGAAUAUUGGUCAAUGGGCGGGAGCCUGAACCAGCCAAGUCGCGUGAGGGAUGACGGUCCUACGGAUUGUAAACCUCUUUUGCCGGGGAGCAAGCGUGCGUUCGUGAACGCACGUCGAGAGUACCCGGAGAAAAAGCAUCGGCUAACUCCGUGCCAGCAGCCGCGGUAAUACGGAGGAUGCGAGCGUUAUCCGGAUUUAUUGGGUUUAAAGGGUGCGUAGGCGGGAUGCCAAGUCAGCGGUAAAAAUGCGGUGCUCAACGCCGUCGAGCCGUUGAAACUGGCGUUCUUGAGUGGGCGAGAAGUAUGCGGAAUGCGUGGUGUAGCGGUGAAAUGCAUAGAUAUCACGCAGAACUCCGAUUGCGAAGGCAGCAUACCGGCGCCCUACUGACGCUGAGGCACGAAAGCGUGGGUAUCGAACAGGAUUAGAUACCCUGGUAGUCCACGCAGUAAACGAUGAAUGCUAACUGUCCGGCGCGAAUGAGCGCUGGGCGGUACAGCGAAAGCGUUAAGCAUUC